GACGAACGCUGGCGGCGUGCUUAACACAUGCAAGUCGAACGGAAAGGCCCUGCUUUUGUGGGGUGCUCGAGUGGCGAACGGGUGUGUAACACGUGAGUAUCCUGCCCUUGACUUUGGGAUAACUUCAGGAAACUGGGGCUAAUACCGGAUAGGAGCUCCUGCUGCAUGGUGGGGGUUGGAAAGUUUCGGCGGUUGGGGAUGGACUGGGGGGUUAUCAGCUUGUUGGUGGGGUAGUGGCUUACCAAGGCUUCGAUGGGUAGCCGGCCUUAGAGGGUGACCAGGGACAAUGGGACUGAGGGACGGCGCAGAGGGGAACGGGGGGCAAUGGUGGAGAAUAUGACACAAUGGGCGGGAGUGUGAUGCGACAGCGUCGCGUUCGUGAUGACGGCCUUCGGGGUGUGAACCGCUUUCACCUGUGACGGAGCGUGAGUGACGUUAAUAAGUAAAGAAGCACCGGCUAACUACGUG
RNAcentral lists this ribosomal RNA (468 nucleotides) under uncultured bacterium. Its description in RNAcentral is "partial 16S ribosomal RNA". It matches the Rfam family "Bacterial small subunit ribosomal RNA", at positions 28 to 507 of the family's 1533-position model. The record is from RNAcentral.